UACGAAGGGGGCUAGCGUUGCUCGGAAUCACUGGGCGUAAAGCGCACGUAGGCGGAUCUUUAAGUCGGUGGUGAAAUCCUGGAGCUCAACUCCAGAACUGCCUUCGAUACUGAGGGUCUCGAGUCCGGGAGAGGUGAGUGGAACUGCGAGUGUAGAGGUGAAAUUCGUAGAUAUUCGCAAGAACACCAGUGGCGAAGGCGGCCCACUGGUCCGGUACUGACGCUGAGGUGCGAAAGCGUGGGGAGCAAACAGG
RNAcentral lists this ribosomal RNA (253 nucleotides) under uncultured bacterium. Its description in RNAcentral is "partial 16S ribosomal RNA". It matches the Rfam family "Bacterial small subunit ribosomal RNA", at positions 524 to 776 of the family's 1533-position model. The record is from RNAcentral.